GUCUUAAAGAUUAUUAAUUUUAAGUCUAAUCUGCCCAAUGAAAUUUUUUAAAUGGCUGCAGUAUUUAUAACUGUACUAAGGUAGCAAAAUAAUUUGAUUUUUGAAUGAAAUCUGGUAUAAACGAUUAAAUGAAAUAUAAGCUGUUUCAAUUAAAAAAAUUUAAUUUUUUAUUUAAGUAAAAAAACUUAAAUUUAUUUUAAAGACGAUAAGACCCUAUAGAAUUUAAUUUAUUUUAAAUUAAAUUUAAUUUAAAAUAAAUUUUAUUGGGGUAAUAAAAAAAUUUAAUGAAUUUUUUUUAAAUUUUACAUUGAUUAAUGAAUUAUUUAUUUUUAUUAAAGAUUAAAAAAAUUAAUUACCUUAGGGAUAACAGCAUAAUUUUUUUUGAGAGAUCAUAUUAAUAAAAAAGGUUAU
Molecule: ribosomal RNA, 411 nt
Filed under: Compsobraconoides cinnamomi
Lineage: Eukaryota; Metazoa; Arthropoda; Insecta; Hymenoptera; Braconidae
Description: partial 16S ribosomal RNA
Source: RNAcentral